This 73-nucleotide transfer RNA is filed under the name Actinomyces sp. RNAcentral describes it as "tRNA-Arg". It matches the Rfam family "tRNA". Rfam says of the family: Transfer RNA (tRNA) molecules are approximately 80 nucleotides in length. Their secondary structure includes four short double-helical elements and three loops (D, anti-codon, and T loops). The record is from RNAcentral. Lineage: Bacteria; Bacillati; Actinomycetota; Actinomycetes; Actinomycetales; Actinomycetaceae. RNAcentral also lists the same sequence under 3 other names.
GCCCCAGUAGCUCAGUGGAUAGAGCGUCUGCCUCCGGAGCAGAAGGUCGCAGGUUCGAAUCCUGUCUGGGGCA